GUGGUUGCUACGUUUGUUGUGACGCUGUUCAAGAAAUAUGAAGUUUUGAGAUUGGCCUUGAUAGCUGGUUAUCAUUGUACAAGACAUCUUAGCAUUAUGGCAGAACAAUUAUUAUGCGUCUAUCAAUGAUAACAAUGAUACCUGAUUGAAGAUUAGGUGGUCUACAAUCCUCAGGUUCUCCAAAACUAUAUCUCAAGCCUAUCAACUCUGAAAAUUAAAGGUCGCCACCAUGCUGUCUCUCUCUGGCCGCCCCUCACAUCGUCUUGGUUUGUUGGUUGCCGCUAUGUCUCCUGCCGGUUCGCCCGCCGCUACCGCUGGAAGGGUUGUAUAGGCCGUCGCUUAUGCCACUACUCUGCAGUGACCAGUGAGGACCAUGGCAUCGAGGCAGCCCAAAAGGGAAACA
This is a long non-coding RNA of Triticum dicoccoides, 403 nucleotides long. RefSeq lists it as uncharacterized. Lineage: Eukaryota; Viridiplantae; Streptophyta; Magnoliopsida; Poales; Poaceae. The record is from RefSeq and is a predicted model, not a curated record. The transcript has 4 exons.